Molecule: long non-coding RNA, 1372 nt
Filed under: Echeneis naucrates (live sharksucker)
Lineage: Eukaryota; Metazoa; Chordata; Actinopteri; Carangiformes; Echeneidae
Description: lncRNA (ENSENLG00000005538.1)
Source: RNAcentral
GUAUAAAUAAUCGAGAGUGCUAAUGCAACAUUAGGCAGUGAGGCAGCAAUGAAAUCAGAGAGGUUGACUUCAAACCCAUUAAAAGCAAGUUCUUCCAAAUUAAGAAAUUUUGACGACAUAUUAAGUGAUUUUUACUCUGCAGUUUAAUAACCACGUUGCAACCUAUGAAUGAAUCCUUUUAGACACUUGAAGAUUCAUUCCUGACUAUAAUACACAAAACCUUCUUCCGUACAAGUCUGUAGCUCAGCAAGAUUAUGGAGUAACAUGAGUUUAUUAGCUAUGAAAUUAGGUCAUGGUGAGAUAGCAGCACUUGUUUGAUUGCAACUGAUUCGUUGAUGUGUUUUAAGAAUGGAUGUGAGUCAUGUGGUUUGAUUUUUAAUUUUUUUUUUGCAGAGCAGCUGAUUUGGUUCAUGAGAUAACAUUAUGUUUCUUAGAAAAACUGAUGUUGACAUGGCUUAUUACUUCGUGCCGAUAAGAGUCGAAGAUCUUCAUUGAUUUUUUAUUUUAUUUCAUGCAGCUUCGGUGAAAUGACAGUGUUUGCCCCACCUUUUUUUUUUUUUUUUUUUUUUAAAUUUCUGUGCAGCUGAUUUUCGUUUCGCAUUUAACUUUGUGAAUAAUUGCGACCACAGUGCUUGUCUCUUUAAGAGUCAGUCUUCUGGUGGCUUCUUGAUAUUAAUAGAGCCGCUGUGUCUUCCUCCUCUGACGUAAUGCCCACAGCCGACAGAGAGACAGGCAGAGAGGUCCUGUCACAGCAAAGCGGUAACACUAGUCUGAAAAACAACAACAACAACAACAACAAAAACAACAACAACAUCAGAUAACGAGCUGCUUUGGUCAGCAAAUCCGGGCUGCGGGCUGCUGAAUAACACACUAUAAGAUCGGGAAUCAUUGCAACACCACCAGAGACCAAAGAAAAAGAGACAGCCAAGACACAAGUCAUCCCCCGUCCGACAUCAUCAACAAACAAAAACCCCUCAAAGAGACGAAGCAGCCAAGCCAAGCCAAGCCAAGCCAGCCAGCCAGCCAGCCACCAUCUUAACAGGCUGCUGAGAGAGAGACACAGAGACAGACUGAGAGAGAGAGGAGAGAGAGAGAGAGAGAGAGAGAGAGCAAAGGGGGCUAAUGCUUAUUUUGAUCAACAGGUAAGCAGCAACCCAAAAAAAAAAAAAAAAAAAAAAAAACAGACACACAACAGCAACACAACCCUGUCUACUAAUUCGGGGGUGCAGUGGCGCAUCAAGGUAAACGAUAACAACAACAACAACAAAAACAACAACAACCAACCCCCCAAAAAAUGCUUCGGCGAUGCACGGUUUUGCAGGAGUAGACGGGGAAAUGCAUGCUCUCUGACAAGUGUGUGUGUGUGUGUGUG